GUUGACCUCGGAUCAGGUAGGGAUACCCGCUGAACUUAAGCAUAUCAAUAAGCGGAGGAAAAGAAACCAACAGGGAUUGCUCUAGUAACGGCGAGUGAAGCAGCAAUAGCUCAAAUUUGAAAUCUGGCGUCUUCGGCGUCCGAGUUGUAAUUUGUAGAGGAUGCUUCUGGGCAGCCACCGACCUAAGUUCCUUGGAACAGGACGUCAUAGAGGGUGAGAU
Molecule: ribosomal RNA, 220 nt
Filed under: Cladosporium sphaerospermum
Lineage: Eukaryota; Fungi; Ascomycota; Dothideomycetes; Cladosporiales; Cladosporiaceae
Description: partial 28S ribosomal RNA
Rfam family: Eukaryotic large subunit ribosomal RNA
Source: RNAcentral